AACGAACGCUGGCGGCAUGCCUAACACAUGCAAGUCGAACGAGACCUUCGGGUCUAGUGGCGCACGCGUGCGUAACGCGUGGGAACCUGCCCUUAGGUUCGGAAUAACUCCCCGAAAGGGGUGCUAAUACCGGAUAAUGUCUUCGGACCAAAGAUUUAUCGCCCUUGGAUGGGCCCGCGUUGGAUUAGCUAGUUGGUAGGGUAAAAGCCUACCAAGGCGACGAUCCCUAGCUGGUCUGAGAGGAUGAUCAGCCACACUGGGACUGAGACACGGCCCAGACUCCUACGGGAGGCAGGAGAGGGGAAUAUUGGACAAUGGGCGAAGGCCUGAUACAGCAAUGCCGGGUGAGUGAUGAAGGGCUUAGGGUUGUAAAGCUCUUUUACCCGGGAUGAUAAUGACAGUACCGGGAGAAUAAGCUCCGGCUAACUACGUG
RNAcentral lists this ribosomal RNA (433 nucleotides) under uncultured bacterium. RNAcentral's name for it is "partial 16S ribosomal RNA". It matches the Rfam family "Bacterial small subunit ribosomal RNA", at positions 29 to 507 of the family's 1533-position model. The record is from RNAcentral.